AACGAACGCUGGCGGCAUGCCUAACACAUGCAAGUCGAACGAGACCUUCGGGUCUAGUGGCGCACGGGUGCGUAACGCGUGGGAACCUGCCUUUAGGUUCGGAAUAACUCAGAGAAAUUUGAGCUAAUACCGGAUAAUGUCUUCGGACCAAAGAUUUAUCGCCUUUAGAUGGGCCCGCGUUGGAUUAGCUAGUUGGUGGGGUAAAGGCCUACCAAGGCGACGAUCCAUGGCUGGUCUGAGAGGAUGAUCAGCCACACUGGGACUGAGACACGGUCCAGACUCCUACGGGAGGCGGCAGUGGGGAAUAUUGGACAAUGGGCGAAAGCCUGAUCCAGCCAUGCCGCGUGAGUGAUGAAGGCCUUAGGGUUGUAAAGCUCUUUUACCCGAGAUGAUAAUGACAGUAUCGGGAGAAUAAGCUCCGGCUAACUCCGUGCCAGCCGCCGCAGUAA
RNAcentral lists this ribosomal RNA (449 nucleotides) under uncultured bacterium. Its description in RNAcentral is "partial 16S ribosomal RNA". It matches the Rfam family "Bacterial small subunit ribosomal RNA", at positions 29 to 523 of the family's 1533-position model. The record is from RNAcentral.